This 343-nucleotide unclassified non-coding RNA is filed under the name uncultured Mortierella. RNAcentral's name for it is "sequence contains ITS2". The stretch from base 1 to 52 matches the Rfam family "5.8S ribosomal RNA", at positions 103 to 154 of the family's 154-position model. The record is from RNAcentral. Lineage: Eukaryota; Fungi; Mortierellomycota; Mortierellomycetes; Mortierellales; Mortierellaceae.
AACGCAUAUUGCGCUCUCUGGUAUUCCGGAGAGCAUGCUUGUUUGAGUAUCAGUAAACACCUCAACCCCUUUUUUCUUUUUUGAAAUUGGAGCUGGACUUGAGUGAUCCCAACGCUUUCUUCCAAGAAAGUGGCGGGUUGCUUGAAAUGCAGGUGCAGCUGAACUUUUCUCUGAGCUAUAAGCAUAUCUAUUUAGUCUGCCUAAAAAACAGAUUAUUACCUUUGCUGCAGCUAACAUAAAGGAGACUAGUUCUUGUGCUGACUGAUGCAGGAUUCACAGAGACAGCUUCGGCUGACUUUGUAAACUCGAUCUCAAAUCAAGUAAGACUACCCGCUGAACUUAA